Suncus etruscus (white-toothed pygmy shrew) is the source of this 136-nucleotide non-coding RNA. RefSeq annotates it as small Cajal body-specific RNA 23. The transcript has a single exon. Lineage: Eukaryota; Metazoa; Chordata; Mammalia; Eulipotyphla; Soricidae. The record is from RefSeq and is a predicted model, not a curated record.
ACAAUCAUGAACAUCUUUUCAACUGUAAAAGAAAAACAACUGUCCUGACCUUUCCUUUAUGAGCAAGAGAAAUUGAACUGAUUUGGGGGAUACCCCAUCUAAGUGGACAUGGGAGACCACGGUUUUUAGUACAACA